RNAcentral lists this transfer RNA (83 nucleotides) under Chloroflexi bacterium RBG_13_53_26. RNAcentral's name for it is "tRNA-Tyr". It matches the Rfam family "tRNA". Rfam says of the family: Transfer RNA (tRNA) molecules are approximately 80 nucleotides in length. Lineage: Bacteria; Bacillati; Chloroflexota. The record is from RNAcentral.
GGAGGGGUGGGUGAGUGGUUAAUACCAACAGACUGUAAAUCUGUCGCCUAACGGCUGCGCAGGUUCGAAUCCUGCCCCCUCCA